CCUACGGGCGGCAGCAGUGAGGAAUAUUGGUCAAUGGUCGCAAGCCUGAACCAGCCAAGUAGCGUGAAGGAUGACGGCCCUACGGGUUGUAAACUUCUUUUAUGAGGGGAUAAAGUGCGUCACGUGUGCCGUUUUGUAGGUACUGUAUGAAUAAGGAUCGGCUAACUCCGUGCCAGCAGCCGCGGUAAUACGUAGGAGCCCAGCGUUAUCCGGAUUUAUUGGGUGUAAGGGGAGCGUAGGUGGGUUGUUAAGUCAGUUGUGAAAUCUUGCGGCUCAACCUUUAGCUUGCAAUUGAAACUGUUAGUCUUGAGUACAGGAGAGGUAGGCGGAAUUCGUGGUGUAGCGGUGAAAUGCGUAGAUAUCACGAAGAACACCGAUUGCGAAGGCAGCUUACUAGACUGCCACUGACACUGAGGCACGAAAGUGUGGGGAGCAAACAGGAUUAGAUACCCCAGUAGUC
This 460-nucleotide ribosomal RNA is filed under the name uncultured bacterium. RNAcentral describes it as "partial 16S ribosomal RNA". It matches the Rfam family "Bacterial small subunit ribosomal RNA", at positions 338 to 795 of the family's 1533-position model. The record is from RNAcentral.